This 253-nucleotide ribosomal RNA is filed under the name uncultured bacterium. Its description in RNAcentral is "partial 16S ribosomal RNA". It matches the Rfam family "Bacterial small subunit ribosomal RNA", at positions 524 to 776 of the family's 1533-position model. The record is from RNAcentral.
UACAGAGGGGGCAAGCGUUAUUCGGAAUUAUUGGGCGUAAAGGGCGCGUAGGCGGCUUUGCAAGUGACGGGUGAAAGCCCUCGGCUUAACCGAGGAACUGCCUGUCAGACUGUAAGGCUUGAGACCGGGAGAGGUGAGUGGAAGUCCCAGUGUAGCGGUGAAAUGCGUAGAUAUUGGGAGGAACACCUAUGGCGAAGGCAGCACUCUGGGACGGUACUGACGCUGAGACGCGAAAGCGUGGGGAGCGAACAGG